RNAcentral lists this ribosomal RNA (891 nucleotides) under Escherichia coli. RNAcentral's name for it is "partial 23S ribosomal RNA". It matches the Rfam family "Bacterial large subunit ribosomal RNA", at positions 1 to 933 of the family's 2925-position model. The record is from RNAcentral. Lineage: Bacteria; Pseudomonadati; Pseudomonadota; Gammaproteobacteria; Enterobacterales; Enterobacteriaceae.
GGUUAAGCGACUAAGCGUACACGGUGGAUGCCCUGGCAGUCAGAGGCGAUGAAGGACGUGCUAAUCUGCGAUAAGCGUCGGUAAGGUGAUAUGAACCGUUAUAACCGGCGAUUUCCGAAUGGGGAAACCCAGUGUGUUUCGACACACUAUCAUUAACUGAAUCCAUAGGUUAAUGAGGCGAACCGGGGGAACUGAAACAUCUAAGUACCCCGAGGAAAAGAAAUCAACCGAGAUUCCCCCAGUAGCGGCGAGCGAACGGGGAGCAGCCCAGAGCCUGAAUCAGUGUGUGUGUUAGUGGAAGCGUCUGGAAAGGCGCGCGAUACAGGGUGACAGCCCCGUACACAAAAAUGCACAUGCUGUGAGCUCGAUGAGUAGGGCGGGACACGUGGUAUCCUGUCUGAAUAUGGGGGGACCAUCCUCCAAGGCUAAAUACUCCUGACUGACCGAUAGUGAACCAGUACCGUGAGGGAAAGGCGAAAAGAACCCCGGCGAGGGGAGUGAAAAAGAACCUGAAACCGUGUACGUACAAGCAGUGGGAGCACGCUUAGGCGUGUGACUGCGUACCUUUUGUAUAAUGGGUCAGCGACUUAUAUUCUGUAGCAAGGUUAACCGAAUAGGGGAGCCGAAGGGAAACCGAGUCUUAACUGGGCGUUAAGUUGCAGGGUAUAGACCCGAAACCCGGUGAUCUAGCCAUGGGCAGGUUGAAGGUUGGGUAACACUAACUGGAGGACCGAACCGACUAAUGUUGAAAAAUUAGCGGAUGACUUGUGGCUGGGGGUGAAAGGCCAAUCAAACCGGGAGAUAGCUGGUUCUCCCCGAAAGCUAUUUAGGUAGCGCCUCGUGAAUUCAUCUCCGGGGGUAGAGCACUGUUUCGGCAAGGGGGUCAUCCCG